ACCGGCGGGGACAUUUUCAAUCCU
RNAcentral lists this microRNA (24 nucleotides) under Patiria miniata (bat star). RNAcentral's name for it is "Pmi-Mir-92-o25_5p* (star (passenger))". Lineage: Eukaryota; Metazoa; Echinodermata; Asteroidea; Valvatida; Asterinidae. The record is from RNAcentral.